Clarias gariepinus (North African catfish) is the source of this 949-nucleotide long non-coding RNA. RefSeq lists it as uncharacterized. NCBI's taxonomy places the organism in Eukaryota, Metazoa, Chordata, Actinopteri, Siluriformes, Clariidae. The record is from RefSeq and is a predicted model, not a curated record. The transcript has 5 exons.
CCCGCCUCCAGUGCGGAUGCGACAGUCAAACUUUUAAACGGUUUGGGAUAUGAAUAUUCUUUCAGCAUAACACGAUAUCUGCCAUCCUCCUAAUAUAAAAUCUACUGUAUCCAUCCAUCCAAAGUUCACAAAGCCGUGGUUCGGAGGGGUUCAUGGCUCUGCUUUAAAGCCAAACCUAAGCUUGACUCUGAUGCAUGCAAGAAAGUUCCUCCCCAGCUCUUCUGCACUGUCCAGAGCUGAUACAAACGCAAGAAGGACAUUGUCACUCUCACACAGUCAUAUAUUCGGACACUUUCUCCUCUGUCACUUCCUCCAUCUUCUGUGUUAGAAACUGCCACUACCUCAGUUUCUCCACCAAACUGUUAGCCACUGUGUCAACAGCCAUGACUGCUGAUCCGCCAGGACCACCAGGGGAUAGCCAGCAGCACCUGAGCAACAGCUGCUGGGUCUUUAGGCCGUGGAUAAGCACUGUCCCACGAAUGGACCGAGUGGACCAUCUGGACAAGGACUGAAACUGGUUUAACACUCAGCAACCAGCAGGUCUGCACCAUCAUAGCUCUCUGUCAAAACUUAAUGCCAUAUGACAAGCUGCGUGAGGCAUCCCCUGCUCGGCAUCAUGUGCGGCUGAGCACUGGACUUCAGACAUCCCAAAACAAAGGGUGAAUUUACACCAGGCAUGGGAACCAUGGCUUGUCGUGUCUUGUGUCUUAGGAUCCACCGGAUCACCUGACCAGUGGACAGAGUGUUGUUGCUUAGCAAGAGGCCAUCUUUGUCAGACUCUGUGAAAUUUACAAGAGCCCACAACACACAUUCAUUAUGCACUGACAAAAUGGACAAUGAUUAAAAGGCUGAGAAAAAAAAUAGACCAAUAAUUUGCGAAAACUUGUGUUUUAAUUGGUGGUGUGUAAACAGUGUCUAAGUUGCAGAUUGGAUCUCUAUAUACAUAAAU